AAGGCUUGACCUCAAAUCAGGUAGGACUACCCGCUGAACUUUAAGCUAUCAU
Molecule: ribosomal RNA, 52 nt
Filed under: Pisolithus tinctorius
Lineage: Eukaryota; Fungi; Basidiomycota; Agaricomycetes; Boletales; Pisolithaceae
Description: partial 28S ribosomal RNA
Source: RNAcentral